AGUUGCUUUAACUGGAGUGGGGCUUCCAAGAUGGCUACUGCCUGCUCCCACACUGAUUUUUCAACUGUAUGUAGGUCCAAACUUCCUUGACUCUACCACUGUCUUCUGAUCCCCAAAUUUUCCCCAAAACAGUCAGAACUCAAAGGGCAUUACACUGAAGAGAAAGAAGAUCUGGGCUCUAAUCCUGUCUGACACCUACUAGUGUGUUUUUUGGGAAACCUGCUGAUUAUGAAAGAUGAUCUAUUUGAAUUUUAUCUUCUAAUUUUGUCUUUAUUCACCUAAAUUUCCUUUAUCUACUACACUUUGGUGUUUUCUUACUUCUAAAGCGUUUCAGAAAUCAUA
This is a long non-coding RNA of Monodelphis domestica (gray short-tailed opossum), 342 nucleotides long. RefSeq lists it as uncharacterized. The record is from RefSeq and is a predicted model, not a curated record. NCBI's taxonomy places the organism in Eukaryota, Metazoa, Chordata, Mammalia, Didelphimorphia, Didelphidae.